RNAcentral lists this unclassified non-coding RNA (163 nucleotides) under soil metagenome. RNAcentral's name for it is "partial internal transcribed spacer 1". The record is from RNAcentral.
UAAUAAGUGUUUUUAUGGCACUUUUUAAAUCCAUAUCCACCUUGUGUGCAAUGUCAGUCGGUUUUUCUUUUUUCGUCAAGAAAAAUAAGGAUCGACCAAACAUCAACUUAUUCUAAUUGAACUUUUGUCUGAAAACUAUUAUGAAUAAACUAAUAUCAAGAUA